This 403-nucleotide ribosomal RNA is filed under the name uncultured bacterium. RNAcentral's name for it is "partial 16S ribosomal RNA". It matches the Rfam family "Bacterial small subunit ribosomal RNA", at positions 30 to 526 of the family's 1533-position model. The record is from RNAcentral.
AUUGAACGCUGGCGGCAGGCCUAACACAUGCAAGUCGAGCGAGCGGCGGACGGGUGAGUAAUGUAUGGGGACUGCCCGAUAGAGGGGGAUAACUACUGGAAACGGUAGCUAAUACCGCAUACUAUCGGAUAACCCAUAUGGGAUUAGCUAGUCGGUGAGGUAAUGGCUCACCUAGGCGACGAUCCCUAGCUGGUCUGAAAGGAUGAUCAGCCAAACUGGGAGUAAGAGAGGGCCAGGACUCCUACGGAGGCAUCAGUGGGGAAUAUUGCACAAUGGGCACAAGCCUGAUGCAGCCAAGCCACGUAAAUGAAGAAGGCCCUAGGGUUGUAGAGUACUUUCAGUCGAGAGGCGUUACCGACAGAAGAAGCACCGGCUAACUCCGUGCCAGCAGCCGCGGUAAUUC